Molecule: ribosomal RNA, 38 nt
Filed under: uncultured Cortinarius
Lineage: Eukaryota; Fungi; Basidiomycota; Agaricomycetes; Agaricales; Cortinariaceae
Description: partial 18S ribosomal RNA
Source: RNAcentral
GACUUAGCUACGUAGGUGAGCCUGCGGAAGGAUCAUUA